CAAGCAAGUCAAUCUUCACCUCCUCAUUGUCUUCAUUUAAUCGAUGGGUGGGUCUAUUGCCUGCCCGGAGUAUUUGGCAGAGGAGCUUUCCCCCAUUUGGCUCUAGGAAAGAGGGAUAAUCUGGGACCUCCAGAUCCCAAAGGAUAUGUGAAGCCCCCCACUGUAUAUUUCCUACAAUCCUGCCACCCCCAACAACUGAAGUACUGAUGGGAGGUGAAGUUGAUGAACCUCCUAGAUCCUUUCCUUGCUAGACAUUGUGAUACAUCAAGUUGUUUGCAACACAAAAUUAGUUCAUACCAGAUUUAAAAAAAAAAAAAAAAAAAAAGGAAAAAAAAAGGCAAUUUCCUUAAUCAUUAG
Cygnus olor (mute swan) is the source of this 357-nucleotide long non-coding RNA. RefSeq lists it as uncharacterized. The transcript is spliced from 2 exons. The record is from RefSeq and is a predicted model, not a curated record. Lineage: Eukaryota; Metazoa; Chordata; Aves; Anseriformes; Anatidae.